This 423-nucleotide ribosomal RNA is filed under the name uncultured prokaryote. RNAcentral's name for it is "bacterial SSU rRNA". It matches the Rfam family "Bacterial small subunit ribosomal RNA", at positions 355 to 796 of the family's 1533-position model. The record is from RNAcentral.
UUAGGAAUCUUCCCCAAUGGGCGCAAGCCUGAGGGAGCGACACUGCGUGAAGGACGAAGGUUUUCGGAUCGUAAACUUCUGAACGAGGGACGAAAGAUGACGGUACCUCGCUAAAAGCACCGGCUAACUCCGUGCCAGCAGCCGCGGUAAUACGGAGGGUGCAAGCGUUAUCCGGAAUCACUGGGCGUAAAGGGCACGUAGGCGGCUUAAUAAGUCCGAUGUUAAAGCGUGGGGCUCAACCCCAUCACGGCGUUGGAUACUGUUAGGCUUGACGACUGGAGAGGUGAGUAGAAUUACCAGUGUAGCGGUGGAAUGCGUAGAUACUGGUAGGAAUACCCAUUGCGAAGGCAGCUCACUGGACAGACCGUGACGCUGAGGUGCGAAAGUGUGGGGAGCAAACCGGAUUAGAUACCCCCGUAGUCC